UCGGAACGUGCCCAGUCGUGGGGGAUAACGUAGCGAAAGUUACGCUAANACCGCAUACGAUCUUACGGAUGAAAGCGGGGGAUCGCAAGACCUCGCGCGAUUGGAGCGGCCGAUAUCAGAUUAGGUAGUUGGUGGGGUAAAAGGCUCACCAAGCCAACGAUCUGUAGCUGGUCUGAGAGGACGACCAGCCACACUGGAACUGAGACACGGUCCCAGACUCCUUACGGGAGGCAGCAGUGGGGAAUUUUGGACAAUGGACGCAAGUCUGAUCCAGCCAUUCCGCGUGCAGGAUGAAGGCCCUCGGGUUGUAAAGCACUUUCAGUGGGGAGGAAGGGGUGAUGCCUAAUACGCAUCAUCAUUGACGUUACCCACAGAAGAAGCACCGGCUAACUCCGUG
This 397-nucleotide ribosomal RNA is filed under the name uncultured bacterium. RNAcentral describes it as "bacterial SSU rRNA". It matches the Rfam family "Bacterial small subunit ribosomal RNA", at positions 118 to 507 of the family's 1533-position model. The record is from RNAcentral.